AAAACAAGGGGAGCCCUCAUGCAAGGGGCUGAGAGUGGCGAAAGAGCCUGACCCUGGACCUGAUUUGGAUCAUGCCAACGUAGGGAUGUUUU
Molecule: non-coding RNA, 92 nt
Filed under: bovine gut metagenome
Description: TPP riboswitch (THI element)
Rfam family: TPP riboswitch aptamer (THI element)
About the family: Vitamin B(1) in its active form thiamin pyrophosphate (TPP) is an essential coenzyme that is synthesised by coupling of pyrimidine and thiazole moieties in bacteria.
Source: RNAcentral